AUGAGACAGGGCUAGAAAGAGAGAAUAAGAAGCAGAGACAAUCAAGGGCAAAAGAGGGACAGGUGAGGGAAUGAAAGGGGAGACAGCUGAAAGUGAUAAUGAGCGGAGGAGUGUGCGUGAUAGAGUGAGUAAGUGAUCACAAGAGGGAGACAGAGAGAGGGGAAAAGACCAGGAUCAUGACACAUCACUUCAUUUCACAUCAUGUUCUUACUAAAAAAAGUCACACUUGAUCUGCCACGGUGGUUCCCUGUGCCAUUGGCUCCACUGAAGUUGUCAACUGCUCCACUGUGGGGAUCUUUGGCCCAGUCUGUACUACUGUGGGGGGUCUUCAGCACAGCCUGCUCCACCCCGGUUUCCUGCUCUGCCAUGCCUUCCUGCUCUGCUAGCUCCAUCAUGGUUUCCUGGUCUGUUGGCUCCACCAUGGCUCCAUGCUCCUCAGGAUCUGACCUGGUGUUCUCCGGAUACACUUCUUUAUGGUUUGUCACCGCUCCAUGGCCCAGGCCCUCCACCUGCACAGUCUGCCACUGCUUCAUGGCCUAGGUCCUCCAUUGUCCCACUGUCUGCCACUGUUCCAUGGCCUAGGUCCACCAUUGCUAAUUGUGUACCAUUUCAGGUCUACCUGUACUUUAUGGUCCAGACUAUGAUUCUGAACUUGUUCCCCUGCUUGGCCUUGGCCCAUCAUUCCUCCCCCUAUUCUGCCCCUGCUUUACCACCCUCCUGGACUUUUGGGGUUUUGCUAAUUUUUUUGGGUUGCUGUUUCAACGUGGUUGCAUCAGGUUCCGCCUUAGAGGGGGAGAUAAGUAGCAUGGGUUUUGUUUCAUGUUUGAAUUUUCAUUUACUUUAUUUUGUAGUUUAGUCCUGAUUCCUGGUUGUCAUAUGGUUCCUUUACCCUGUCAUAUGAUCAUGUCAUGUGGUCCUUUUGUUCAUGUGUCAUGCUUUCAUUUGUUUAUUGGGAUUUUUGGCUUCAUGCAGCACUGCAAAGAUCGGCUGUCACCUGAUAAAAGCAAUGCAUUCUGGUUAGAACAUAGUCCAACUUUGAUUGGCGCUACAGCUGCCUUACGAUCACAUGUGCCAUCAGAGUACCGUGAGAGCAAAACAAAACCAGCCACCAAAGUCAGGCACUGGAGUUGCUUAAAAUUGGCUGUGAGACUUUGGUGAUGACAUACUUUAUUCUCAUUGGUCAGAUUCUGUGAUGAAAAGCAUGAUGUGUGUUGCAUGUUUAUUCUAACAAUUAAAUUCCAAUAAUAGUCACAAAUCUCAGUUUUUAUAACAUUAAAAGCUUUUUCAGUGUAGUUGCACUGUUAUAUUUAGUCAUUUUUAUCAAAAAUAAUGAUAAAAGCAUAUAUACCCCGACUUUAUCAGUAUUCAGUAGCAUAUUUGUUUAUAUGCUGAACUUUAUUCGUGAAAAGAUGACACUGUAUUAAGCAGUGUAUAAAAAGUGUUUCUGUCGCUCAUAAAAACUUCCUGUGUAUUUGACAAAUAUUGUAUUUAGUUCAGUUUAUCUGUGAUAAGACUAUGCAAACACUGUGAAAGCAUCACUACUGGGAGCAGAAAAUGUCAAACUUGACGUCUCCAAUUUUUAUUCCG
This is a long non-coding RNA of Carassius auratus (goldfish), 1587 nucleotides long. Lineage: Eukaryota; Metazoa; Chordata; Actinopteri; Cypriniformes; Cyprinidae. The record is from Ensembl.